Neopsephotus bourkii (Bourke's parrot) is the source of this 436-nucleotide long non-coding RNA. RefSeq lists it as uncharacterized. The record is from RefSeq and is a predicted model, not a curated record. NCBI's taxonomy places the organism in Eukaryota, Metazoa, Chordata, Aves, Psittaciformes, Psittacidae. The transcript is spliced from 3 exons.
AUGAAACAAAACUCCGUUUCCUUAAAGGAGAUUGUGAAGGCUUAAGACACUGAAUUGCUCUUCCAGAAUAAGAUCCUGGAAUGGAACAGAGGGCACACCUUGCCCUGGCAUUCUCUCAACCCGCAAGAACAUGACUAUUUCAUAACAGCUCAGGGAGGUGAACACCCAAGACCUUCAAGGAUGUCAUAUUUAGCAGUGGAUUGUGAAAUGCUUGAAAACUGGAAUCGUAGGAGCAUUAUUUAAUGCUAAGUGUUAUCCGCAUCAUAGCAGAAGCUGGAACAUGCCAGGAAAACAUCCUUCACAUUCUGCAUCUAAUACAUCUGAGCUUUCAGGAUCAGUCGUGAGUUGGCUGGGUGCUCAGAUGUUUAUGCUGAUGGGAUCAGAAAUGCCGUCAAAAGGUGAGUGGGGAAGGUGUGGUGGGAAUUUUGAGCAUGAC